Molecule: ribosomal RNA, 816 nt
Filed under: uncultured Actinomycetes bacterium
Lineage: Bacteria; Bacillati; Actinomycetota; Actinomycetes
Description: bacterial SSU rRNA
Rfam family: Bacterial small subunit ribosomal RNA
Source: RNAcentral
CAAGUCGAACGCGAAAGCCCCCUUCGGGGGGCAAGUAGAGUGGCGCACGGGUGAGUAACACGUAGGUAAUCUACCUUUGGAUGGGGAAUAACCACCGGAAACGGUGGCUAAUACCGCAUAAUGCAGCGGCACCUAAUGGUGACAGUUGUUAAAGCGGGGGAUCGUAAGACCUCGCGUCUGAAGAGGAGCCUGCGGCAGAUUAGCUAGUUGGUAAGGUAAAGGCUUACCAAGGCGAUGAUCUGUAGCCGGCCUGAGAGGGCGGUCGGCCACACUGACACUGACAUACGGGUCAGACUCCUACGGGAGGCAGCAGUCGGGAAUUUUGGGCAAUGGGCGAAAGCCUGACCCAGCAACGCCGCGUGAAGGAUGAAAUCCCUCGGGAUGUAAACUUCGCAAGAACGGGAAGAAUAAGUAAGAGUUAAUAUCUCUUAUGAUGACGGUACUGUUUGUAAGCUCCGGCUAACUCCGUGCCAGCAGCCGCGGUAAUACGGGGGGAGCAAGCGUUGUUCGGAUUUACUGGGCGUAAAGGGCGCGUAGGCGGCCACCGCAAGUCGACUGUGAAAUCUCCGGGCUUAACUCGGAAAGGUCAGCCGAUACUGCGGGGCUAGAGUGCAGAAGGGGCAACUGGAAUUCUCGGUGUAGCGGUGAAAUGCGUAGAUAUCGAGAGGAACACCUGCGGCGAAGGCGGGUUGCUGGGCUGACACUGACGCUGAGGCGCGAAAGCUAGGGGAGCGAACGGGAUUAGAUACCCCGGUAGUCCUAGCCUUAAACGAUGAAUGCUUGGUGUCUGGGGUUUUAUAGUCCCCGGGUGCCGUC